CUGGCCGCGGCGCCCUCCACCCGCGGCCGCCAGCUCCUCGAGAUGAUUGUUACUGAGGAUCUUUCCGUGGGGUCCGCGUUCUAAGAGGAACAGACACACACACACCCACACCCCCCCCACACACCCUCGCGUUCUAAGAGGAACACACACACACACACACACACACACACACACACACACACACACACACACACACACACACAUCAGUGGAUCCAGGCGCUGGGGAUUGCGCUGGGAUCUCAUCCGGGAGAUUGACUUCUGAUGGUCUCCCAGUGGGUCCUUGGCUCUCGGACUCUUCCUUCCAAGCCCAGCCGCCCUAGAAAUUGCGAGAUGGCGCUUAGGGCCUUUGAUGUGAGCCAAGUGAAACUGCUGAGCCAGCGCCUGCGCUUGAUUUAAAAGGAGAGCCCAGUUACAAAAGUCUGAGCCUUGGCCGACCUCUUCCCUGAGCGUGCCUGUGCUUUCCUCCUGCAGUUUUCUAUGAGAUCGUUGAAUCUCCAAUGUGUGCUGAUAGCAGAACACUAGUUUCCCAACCGUGGAACAGCCAGCGCCAAGGGGAGUUUGGUUUUGUGGGAGGUGUCCAGCCGUCCUUCCUGACUGAGUUUCUGGAUGGAAACUGCUCCUGAGUGGAAGGAUAUAGACAAAAACUGUCUGCUGCAUGGGGUUUCUGCAAGUUUCACCAAAGAAGAGGCUCUCUCUGAUUUUACUGAGAAGACCCUUGGCUCAAUGUGUCAUCCUUAUACCUGUCCCUGAAGAAAAUGAUCGAGAAGAAAAGUGCACUGCCCCUCAGCACUACUUUAGACAUUGUUUGCAGAGCAACGUUUCUGCUUUUACUUACUUGCCCUAUUUCAGCAUUUAUCCUUUAGUGGAAUGAACUGUUUUAUUUCCUGACCUUGGCUUUCUCAGGCAUACUAACUGAUCUGUACUAAGAACACUCUGUAACUGCUUGGAGAAGAGACUGUACUGUGAUUUCAUCAAACUUGCAUCUUUUUCUUCAUGAAAUGCCACAACCUACCACACCUGCACUUAGACAUGUGUCUUGGGAACAAGUUCUGGCUGACGCAAUGCAAAGGGGAAGGAGACUGAACCCUUUGGUUCUGGACUGAACUCCUAAAAAGCUAACAUCCAUGAAAUUUGUCUUCCCAUGUGGCCAUAUAGAACUGAUCCAUAGUAGCACACCUACUGUCACCUAGACGGAGUUUUGACUAGAUGGAAGGAGGCCAAGGUACCCAUGUGACCAUGUGAAGUAGGUAAUGUCUCUCUCAAAUAAAUGCUUUCACUCAUGAUAGGAAGAAAUAGCUAUCUGAGUUAAGCCACUGGAAAACUUGUGGUUAUCUGUUAUAGUGGCUAAUCUAUGCUGAUUGCUGUACUCUUCAAUUUAAGUGUAUUUCAAAAUAACAGAUAUCCUCCUUGUUAUUACCUGUUCUCCUUGUGAAGGUUCACUUACCUGUAGUCCCUGCAGUACCUCAUUAGACUCAAUUUACCCAGAUUUUUGUUGUUGUGGUGGUGGUGGUGAUGGAGAGCACAUCCAUACCACCAUGUAAAUGCUCUACCCUGACCUAUACCCCCAGCCCAUCACCCAGAGAUAAGAAAAAUCAACAUUGGAUACACUGUUUUCAUCAAAUACCAUCCUCUAUCUCUCUAUUCUCUCAAGUCUCACAGCUUCCGUGUGACUCCCUUACCCAGCUUGCAGAUGUUUUCCUUAUGGUGGCAGUGAAGACAAAAAAAAUCAUGCUUCCCUUUACCUGUUUGCAUGUCUUGAUACUCAA
Jaculus jaculus (lesser Egyptian jerboa) is the source of this 1766-nucleotide long non-coding RNA. RefSeq lists it as uncharacterized. NCBI's taxonomy places the organism in Eukaryota, Metazoa, Chordata, Mammalia, Rodentia, Dipodidae. The record is from RefSeq and is a predicted model, not a curated record. The transcript has 3 exons.